Long non-coding RNA from Pantherophis guttatus, 2322 nucleotides. RefSeq lists it as uncharacterized. The record is from RefSeq and is a predicted model, not a curated record. Lineage: Eukaryota; Metazoa; Chordata; Lepidosauria; Squamata; Colubridae.
ACUAACUAGUUUUCAUUUCCUUUUUAUCUCAGAGAAUCCAAAUGGAACCAUAGGAUUCAUAACUCUCAAAACUCUGCAUUCUUUUCAGUAAUACUAAAGUCACAGCUGAGCACAGCAUAAAGAUACACACUGCACAUUGUAUGUUGUGACAUUGUUUUCAAGCCAGGAAAGCAUAUUUUAUCUUCAUAAUGGUCAGCAGUAAAACACAAGUCAGCAAUAUUUACCAAUAUUUACCAAGUUCUCUCCAUUGCCGCCUUCAUCCUACAUAUCUCUUCCCAUGCCAGUUGCAGUCUUCCAUCUCACACAGUAUGUUCUGAACUCUUCCCCCUCCCUCACAGGACUUCAAUUAUUCAUUCAUCUAAUUUGCAUUGCCACCUAUAUCUAUUCAAUAAUCUCUGUGCGGCAAACAAACAAAAAUGAAGGAUUGCCAUAAAAUAAAAUAAAAUAAUUAAAACUACACUGAGACUCAUUAGAAACCCAAAUUGUCAGACACAAGGUUCAGUCUCUCUUGGAUCACAUUUGCCAGACCAAUUUCAGUCUCAUUCUUUCCAGUGCUUGGGAAGUGUAGCUCAUCUCUUGCCAGAAGUCCCUCAUCUUGGAAAUAUGUCCAAACGCUGUUAUCUUGGGUACCAUCAAAGGACCCAGCUCAUAAUAUCCAGUGUUCUCUGUCUUUCUGGAUGAUGUCCUUUGACAAAAAGGCAUGAUAAAAACGCCCUAAUCUUUUUUUAAAAAAUCCUUCUGCCUGGUGUUCUAGGAUCCUUUUCAGUUUCUUCAGGGAUGUGCCUGGUUUUGUCAUUUGGAACCAUCAUUCCACAUGGUUCAGUGGAAACAGAUACUUAACUGGGUUUAAAUGGGAAGUCAUUCUAUUAACAUCUCAAUAUGGUGCUGGAGAAGACUCCUGCGAGUCCCUUGGACUGCAAGGCAAUCAAACUGGUCAGUCCUAGAGGAGAUCAACCCUGACUACUAUUUAGAAGGCCAGAUCCUGAAGAUGAAACUCAAAUAUUUUGGCCACCUAAUGAGAAGGAAGGACUCACUGGAGAAGAGCCUAAUGCUGGGAAAGAUUGAGGGCAAAAGAAGAAAGGGACGACAGAGAACAAGGUGGCUGGAUGGAGUCACUGAAGCAGUAGGCGUGAGCUUAAAUGGACUCCAGAGGAUGGUAGAGGACAGGAAGGCCUAGAGGAACAUUGUCCAUGGGGUCACAAUGGGUCGGACAUGACUUUGCAACUAACAACAAUAACAAAUGUGCCCUCUGUUGAGAUGCUUUGAGAUGUUUUGAGAUGCUAACUGACUGACAUGACCUUGCUUUCUGCAGGAAUAUUUCACCUGGAAACAAGGUGCUGAAUAUUCAGAUAUAACUCAGAAGUAAUCAGGCUCAAUUGAGGCUUUUAGAGGGGGGGGGAGAGAAAUGGGGGAAACCCACCAAUCAGCAGGAUCCUCUUUUUUGCUCCUUUUUUAAUGAUCUAGCAAGCUUCUGCCUAGUUACCUCUCUGGGCCUCACCUUUUUUUUCUUUUCAACAGAGCUUUUUUCCCUCUUUCAUGGACAAUUCCUGCAGAUGGUAACUGGUAACUUUCUGUUCUGUAUUCUCUGUUCUUUUAAUUAAACUGACUUGAGCCCAGCUUCAAUGUUUUGAUGUGCAAACCAAAAGUUCGAGAAAUGCUUUUGAGCCCCAAAUCAAGGCCAUGGAUGUUAUUAAGUAAUAUCUGAAACCUCUACAAGAUAUUUAAGAGCUACUUAAAUAGAGAAUUGGAAUUCUCUAUUUUUUUUAAGGAAUAAAAUACCACAUUUUUCGUAGAACCUCAUGAAAUCAAGAUUAUAUUAAAUAUGAAUAGUACUUUUUUCCUUCUCUUCUUUUUUUUUUUAAAGUGCAGUGAUUAUGAUGGGAAAACAAUGUUUAUUGGCACCAAUGUGAAACAAAGAAGGGUCUUUUACACAGCUAAUGUCUUGAUAGUUAGCAAGAUGUAUUUUCUCCACAAUUAGAUUUGCUUGAAUUAUUUUACUGGAUCAAGGAAAAAUAUUUGAAUUUGUUACUAGAAAGUCAUUAACAAUUAGUCUGGCUUGCAGUCCAGAAUUAGGUUCUGACUAGGAAUAUUUUUUUGAGUUCUUGAGCACACUUACAACAGUAAUUCAUUUUUAAUAUUUGUUACAGUUCCAGAGUUUCUGCCUUAAUGUAACUGUUUUUUCUAUAGUACUGUAUUAUGCUACCACUAAUAAAUUUCCCAAAUCCUGUGUUUGCAUAACUCACUUGUCCAUGACCUGCAUGUUUAGAAAGUGGCAUAACAAGCCAAAUAAAUGAAUAAAUGCAAUAUAUUUAUAUUUUAUAA